This 465-nucleotide ribosomal RNA is filed under the name Vreelandella stevensii. RNAcentral's name for it is "partial 16S ribosomal RNA". It matches the Rfam family "Bacterial small subunit ribosomal RNA", at positions 338 to 795 of the family's 1533-position model. The record is from RNAcentral. Lineage: Bacteria; Pseudomonadati; Pseudomonadota; Gammaproteobacteria; Oceanospirillales; Halomonadaceae.
CCUACGGGCGGCUGCAGUGGGGAAUAUUGGACAAUGGGGGGAACCCUGAUCCAGCCAUGCCGCGUGUGUGAAGAAGGCCCUCGGGUUGUAAAGCACUUUCAGUGAGGAAGAACGCCUGGUGGUUAAUACCCAUCAGGAAAGACAUCACUCACAGAAGAAGCACCGGCUAACUCCGUGCCAGCAGCCGCGGUAAUACGGAGGGUGCGAGCGUUAAUCGGAAUUACUGGGCGUAAAGCGCGCGUAGGUGGCUUGAUAAGCCGGUUGUGAGAGCCCCGGGCUCAACCUGGGAACGGCAUCCGGAACUGUCAAGCUAGAGUGCAGGAGAGGAAGGUAGAAUUCCCGGUGUAGCGGUGAAAUGCGUAGAGAUCGGGAGGAAUACCAGUGGCGAAGGCGGCCUUCUGGACUGACACUGACACUGAGGUGCGAAAGCGUGGGUAGCAAACAGGAUUAGAUACCCGAGUAGUC